GGGUGCGAUCAUACCAGUACUUAUGCACUAGAUCCCAUUAGAAAUCAGCAGUUAACCGUGCUUGCGCGAGAGUAGUACUAGGACGGGUGACCUCCUCGGAAGUCCUCGUGUUGCACCCC
Beta vulgaris subsp. vulgaris (sugar beet) is the source of this 119-nucleotide non-coding RNA. The record is from Rfam. Lineage: Eukaryota; Viridiplantae; Streptophyta; Magnoliopsida; Caryophyllales; Amaranthaceae.